RNAcentral lists this ribosomal RNA (878 nucleotides) under 'Croton sp.' aster yellows phytoplasma. RNAcentral's name for it is "bacterial SSU rRNA". It matches the Rfam family "Bacterial small subunit ribosomal RNA", at positions 366 to 1254 of the family's 1533-position model. Lineage: Bacteria; Bacillati; Mycoplasmatota; Mollicutes; Acholeplasmatales; Acholeplasmataceae. The record is from RNAcentral.
CGGCAAUGGAGGGAACUCUGACCGAGCAACGCCGCGUGAACGAUGAAGUAUUUCGGUACGUAAAGUUCUUUUAUUAGGGAAGAAUAAAUGAUGGAAAAAUCAUUCUGACGGUACCUAAUGAAUAAGCCCCGGCUAACUAUGUGCCAGCAGCCGCGGUAAUACAUAGGGGGCAAGCGUUAUCCGGAAUUAUUGGGCGUAAAGGGUGCGUAGGCGGUUAAAUAAGUUAUGGUCUAAGUGCAAUGCUCAACAUUGUGAUGCUAUAAAAACUGUUUAGCUAGAGUAAGAUAGAGGCAAGUGGAAUUCCAUGUGUAGUGGUAAAAUGCGUAAAUAUAUGGAGGAACACCAGUAGCGAAGGCGGCUUGCUGGGUCUUUACUGACGCUGAGGCACGAAAGCGUGGGGAGCAAACAGGAUUAGAUACCCUGGUAGUCCACGCCGUAAACGAUGAGUACUAAACGUUGGGUAAAACCAGUGUUGAAGUUAACACAUUAAGUACUCCGCCUGAGUAGUACGUACGCAAGUAUGAAACUUAAAGGAAUUGACGGGACUCCGCACAAGCGGUGGAUCAUGUUGUUUAAUUCGAAGGUACCCGAAAAACCUCACCAGGUCUUGACAUGCUUCUGCAAAGCUGUAGAAACACAGUGGAGGUUAUCAGUUGCACAGGUGGUGCAUGGUUGUCGUCAGCUCGUGUCGUGAGAUGUUGGGUUAAGUCCCGCAACGAGCGCAACCCUUAUUGUUAGUUACCAGCACGUAAUGGUGGGGACUUUAGCAAGACUGCCAGUGAUGAAUUGGAGGAAGGUGGGGACGACGUCAAAUCAUCAUGCCCCUUAUGACCUGGGCUACAAACGUGAUACAAUGGCUGUUACAAAGAGUAGGUGAA